Molecule: ribosomal RNA, 161 nt
Filed under: Clostridium beijerinckii
Lineage: Bacteria; Bacillati; Bacillota; Clostridia; Eubacteriales; Clostridiaceae
Description: partial 16S ribosomal RNA
Rfam family: Bacterial small subunit ribosomal RNA
Source: RNAcentral
AUUGAGAGUUUGAUCCUGGCUCAGGACGAACGCUGGCGGCGUGCUUAACACAUGCAAGUCGAGCGAUGAAGCUCCUUCGGGAGUGGAUUAGCGGCGGACGGGUGAGUAACACGUGGGUAACCUGCCUCAUAGAGGGGAAUAGCCUUUCGAAAGGAAGAUUA